CACUAUGCCCAGACUAGUUAUUCAAAUUUUGCACAAUUAGUUUUUAAUUUACAACCCAAUAUGAUUUUGUUGUGGCUCAGCAAUACGUAGGGACAGUCCAAGAGACUAAUGCAAACUGGUUGAAACGGAAUGUGUGACCAUUCAAAUCUGUACAAUCGUUGAUUUUUUUACCUUAUUUUAAAUGACUUACGCAAUAUGAAUUUGAAAUCCCAACUUGUAGUUCACCAAUGAUGCUAUAUUAUGCCAAAUCACAACUCAAAAUUUCUCACAGAAUUAUGACUUCAUUAAUUGAGUCACAACUCUUCGUCAUUACCCAGACCUCACUGAUACUUGAAUUUAGAGUAUGAGGUGAAUAACAAUAAUCAAAAUGAGUUUUAAGACAUUGGUUACUUGUAUAUAACUAAACAAACCUAAGAUUAAACCAACGAAACAAAAUACAGGACUUUCAACUUUAACAGUUCGCAAUCCAAAGAAACGUAAAGAAGUUCUGAUUAUACAUGACCCUAUACUAUUGUUCAUGCAAUGUCGAUUAAGGCUAGCUAAAUUACUACAACAACUAGUUAACUACAAACUACAAACAGGAAGCAUUCUUCACACACAGAUCUCAUAAAUCUGAUGAAUAUCUUUAUUUUAACUCCAAUUCACAAGCACACCAUAGCGAGUUCAGAAAUGUGUGCCUGGGGAUCAAAAUUUAGCAGGAAGGAGAAGAAGCUAGCAUAGAAGCACAUACAACAGCGAUUGGAGUUUUCACACAGCAAUAACACAUCAAUUUUAACCCCAGGAAUGAAUCAGUAAUCCAGGAAGUAAACAGAACUGAGAGAUUGACCCACAACAGCACCCCAACAAAACAAGUAAACUCGAAAAUUCACCCAGAAGCACAUAAAACCUUCAUCCAACCAAAGCUCAAUCAAAAACCAAUUCAACCGGCCCCAAAAUCACUCAACAUCCUUCUGGUAAACCUAAAAUUGUGAGUUAAGGCAUUGGUAAUGCCUUUUUAUAGGCAAAAGAUAAGGGUAUCCCCCCAAAUUUCUGUUUUCAUUUUCAGUCUAUAGUUUAUUUCUGUUAGUCCCUUGUUUUCUGACUUACUUCUCAAGUAAGUACACCACAAUUACUUAAAUAUACACUUGAGCCAUAUUCUAGAAGAUUCUAGUGGAUUCUAUUCUAACAUACAACAUUCUAUCUGAUUAUUAGAUACCCAAACUGCCCUUGCAUACUUCUAAAAUUUCUUACUAAACUUUCUUCUAACUCAAGCACAGUCAAUUGGCUACCAAACUAAGAUUUAAUCAGCUAUAUCCAACCAGGUCCACAAACUUUAAGACUGAAUACCAAAACUAAAUCAAACGAAAACUUGAUCCUAAAUCAUACUUCACCAAGCCAUUAAUCAAACGAAAUUAACAAUCAAUAUUAACAUAGACAAAACAAAACAAACAAACACAGAAUCACCAACCAAUAAGGAAGAAACAAUCAGAAAAAGAACAGAAUAAACAGGACCGGAAAAUCAAAACAUGAAUCAAACACGAAUUAAAGUAACAUUAAGACUAUUGAAUUCAAACUAAUAACUACUAUUAUCAAAGCAUGAUCAAUAUAGAGGAAAGCUAAUCCGACUAAUUAACUGAACAAACAAUACAUCAAACCUAAACUCUAUAUCGACCAAACAAUCCUAAAUGAAUGAAACAAAAUUCAGAAUCCUAACUCGAACUAAUGCAAGAAGGAAAAGAAGGAAGUGGACGAAAGAUGAAGAAACUCACCAAUAAUAUGACUGCCUUCCUUAGAUUCCAAGCAUGAGUGCCCUCUAGUGAUAUUUGAACGCCAACAAUGAUAAAAACAUCAUGGGGAAGGCGGGGGGAUCACAUGAUACCGAUUUGGUGAGGUUUAGAGAAACUAGGGUUCACCGGAAAAUCUCAAAUCCAAAUCCGAACAGUUCUUGCGAGAUUUGAGGGAUAUGGCUUGAGUAUUUGGGAUGAGAAGGUUAAGGCGAGUCUAUUGUGUGAAUUUGGUCGGAUUUGGACAACUAUGUAUUUUGGGCGGAAUAUUUCGAUUCAAGAUUCGAUGGCUUGGGGUGGGAUUCGAGAAAAACCAAGUUGGGGGUUGGAAAAAGGAGAGAAAGAGGGUUCUAGGGUGUUAUUUUGGUAGUGUUUGGAGGUGGGCUGCCGGCGGAGACGAUUUCCGGCCGGCGGCGAUGGGUGGCAUUACACAAGGUCUGUGAGGGGUGGUUUGGGGAUNNN
This 2225-nucleotide long non-coding RNA is filed under the name Nicotiana benthamiana. Its description in RNAcentral is "long non-coding RNA (NBEN_LNC005865)". Lineage: Eukaryota; Viridiplantae; Streptophyta; Magnoliopsida; Solanales; Solanaceae. The record is from RNAcentral.